Molecule: ribosomal RNA, 465 nt
Filed under: uncultured bacterium
Lineage: Bacteria
Description: bacterial SSU rRNA
Rfam family: Bacterial small subunit ribosomal RNA
Source: RNAcentral
AUUGAACGCUGGCGGAAUGCUUUACACAUGCAAGUCGAGCGGCAGCGCGGGGGCAACCCUGGCGGCGAGCGGCGAACGGGUGAGUAACAUAUCGGAACGUACCCCGUCGUGGGGGAUAACACAGCGAAAGCUGUGCUAAUACCGCAUACGACCUGAGGGUGAAAGCGGGGGAUCGCAAGACCUCGCGCGAUGGGAGCGGCCGAUAUCGGAUUAGCUUGUUGGUGAGGUAAAGGCUCACCAAGGCGACGAUCCGUAGCUGGUCUGAGAGGACGACCAGCCACACUGGAACUGAGACACGGUCCAGACUCCUACGGGAGGCAGCAGUGGGGAAUUUUGGACAAUGGGGGCAACCCUGAUCCAGCCAUUCCGCGUGAGUGAAAAAGGCCUCGGUGUAAGACUCUUCGUCCGGGUACGGAAAGUACGCAUGGUUAAGUACCUACGUGUCGGAGUGACGGUACCGGCGAC